This 428-nucleotide ribosomal RNA is filed under the name uncultured Bacteroidota bacterium. Its description in RNAcentral is "bacterial SSU rRNA". It matches the Rfam family "Bacterial small subunit ribosomal RNA", at positions 545 to 974 of the family's 1533-position model. Lineage: Bacteria; Pseudomonadati; Bacteroidota. The record is from RNAcentral.
CCGGAUUUAUUGGGUUUAAAGGGUGCGUAGGCGGAUUAAUAAGUCAGCGGUGAAACUCACAGGCUCAACCUGUGCCGUGCCGUUGAAACUGUUUAUCUUGAAUGCGGAUGCUGUGGGAGGAAUGUGUAGUGUAGCGGUGAAAUGCAUAGAUAUUACACAGAACACCGAUUGCGAAGGCAUCUCACAAAGCCGUGAUUGACGCUGAGGCACGAAAGUGUGGGGAUCAAACAGGAUUAGAUACCCUGGUAGUCCACUACUGUAAACGAUGAUAACUCGCUGCCGGCGAUAUAUAGCCGGUGGCCCAGCGAAAGCGAUAAGUUAUCCACCUGGGGAGUACGACCGCAAGGUUGAAACUCAAAGGAAUUGACGGGGGCCCGCACAAGCGGAGGAACAUGUGGUUUAAUUCGAUGAUACGCGAGGAACCUUAC